RNAcentral lists this ribosomal RNA (897 nucleotides) under uncultured bacterium. Its description in RNAcentral is "bacterial SSU rRNA". It matches the Rfam family "Bacterial small subunit ribosomal RNA", at positions 8 to 916 of the family's 1533-position model. The record is from RNAcentral.
AGAGUUUGAUCAUGGCUCAGGACGAACGCUGGCGGCGUGCUUAAUACAUGCAAGUUGAGCGGAGCCAUUGAUGAAGCUUGCGAUUCAAUGGUCGAGCGGCGGACGGGUGAGUAACGCGUGGGCAACCUGCCCUCUAGUCUGGGAUAACAGUUCGAAAGGGCUGCUAACACCGGAUAAGCUCACGGAGAGGCAUCUUUCAGUGAGAAAAGUUUACGCUAGAGGAUGGGCCCGCGUCCCAUUAGCUAGUUGGUGAGGUAACGGCUCACCAAGGCGCCGAUGGGUAGCCGACCUGAGAGGGUGACCGGCCACACUGGGACUGAGACACGGCCCAGACUCCUACGGGAGGCAGCAGUAGGGAAUUUUCCGCAAUGGGCGAAAGCCUGACGGAGCAACGCCGCGUGAGGGAAGAAGGUCUUCGGAUCGUAAACCUCUGUCCUCAGGGACGAUGAUGACGGUACCUGAGGAGGAAGCCACGGCUAACUACGUGCCAGCAGCCGCGGUAAUACGUAGGUGGCGAGCGUUGUCCGGAAUUACUGGGCGUAAAGGGCGUGUAGGCGGCCAUUUAAGUCAGAUGUGAAAUACCAUGGCUUAACCAUGGGACUGCAUUUGAGACUGGAUGGCUUGAGGAUCGGAGAGGGCAGUGGAAUUCCCAGUGUAGCGGUGAAAUGCGUAGAUAUUGGGAGGAACACCAGUGGCGAAGGCGACUGCCUGGACGACACCUGACGCUGAGGCGCGAAAGCUAGGGGAGCAAACGGGAUUAGAUACCCCGGUAGUCCUAGCCGUAAACGAUGGGUACUAGGUGUGGGAGGUAUCGACCCCUUCCGUGCCGCAGUUAACACAAUAAGUACCCCGCCUGGGGAGUACGGCCGCAAGGUUGAAACUCAAAUGAAUUGACGG